AUUCCAGCUCCAAUAGCGUAUAUUAAAGUUGUUGCGGUUAAAAAGCUCGUAGUUGGAUUUCUGCCGAGGAUGACCGGUCCGCCCUGUGGGUGUGCAUCUGGCUCAGCCUUGGCAUCUUCCUGAAGAACGUAGCUGCACUUGACUGUGUGGUGCGGUAUUUAGGACAUUUACUUUGAGGAAAUUAGAGUGUUUCAAGCAAGCGCACGCUUUGAAUACAUUAGCAUGGAAUAAUAAGAUAGGACCUCGGUUCUAUUUUGUUGGUUUCUAGUACUGAAGUAAUGAUUGAUAGGGAUAGUUGGGGGUGCUAGUAUUGAGCGGCCAGAGGUGAAAUUAUUGGAUUCGCUCAAGACUAACUUAUGCGAAAGCAUUUACCAAGGAUGUUUUCAUUA
This 389-nucleotide ribosomal RNA is filed under the name Dinophyceae sp. RNAcentral's name for it is "partial small subunit ribosomal RNA". It matches the Rfam family "Eukaryotic small subunit ribosomal RNA", at positions 582 to 975 of the family's 1831-position model. Lineage: Eukaryota; Dinophyceae. The record is from RNAcentral.